Molecule: long non-coding RNA, 391 nt
Organism: Liolophura sinensis
Lineage: Eukaryota; Metazoa; Mollusca; Polyplacophora; Chitonida; Chitonidae
Exons: 3
Source: RefSeq, a predicted model, not a curated record
GACAAGAGGACCUACCCGGAUCGGGUCCCAUCUGGAUAGAUGGCGUUUACUCGUCCUGUCCCAGCCAGGCUUCUCUUCUGGACUGUCCCCUUCGCCUUUAGUCUGGGCCUACACGAUUGUGAUCACAGAGAAGAUGUCGUCGUGUCUUGCUUUACUGAAUGUGAUGUCGAUGAGUUUUCAUGUCCGGAUAACAAGACUUGUGUUAGCCCUGAGUACAUCUGUGACGCAGAUCCGGAUUGUCCGGGUGGAGAGGACGAAGACAACUGUGGCAUUGAUACAGCAUGUGCUGCGGACGAGUUUCCCUGCUACGGAAGGGGUCAGUGUAUCCCGAUGUCAGCGAGAUGUGACGGCGAAUAUCACUGUUCGGACGGAACCGAUGAAUUAGAAUGUG